GUGGAUUUUGCAGUUUAUAAAUUUUUCAUUUUGUUGCAUGCUUGUUAUAUGUCUGCCUUUUGGUUUUUUUUUAUGUUUGAUCGUCUUCUUCAACCUCACCUCAUUAUGUACUUCGAUUGAGUCCAGCUAGCUAUUUCAUGUUUUGAACGUGUCUAUUUUACAGUGUGUACGUCUUUUUGCGGAGGAGUCGACUCCAGAUGGUUGCUGUUUUUUUACAAACCAUUAUUUGACUAAAGUUCCUAUUUCCUAAAGAUUUACUUGUCAAGACAAAAACCAAGUCCUUAUCUGAUGCAUUAAUCAAAAAGAAAUAUGUAUACUGAAGAAAUGUAUAUGGUGUACAAGUUUUGCUGAUUCAUCAAAAAAUAUUCCCUUUAAGCCAACUAUUUGGAAAGAUCAAUAUGAGCAUGUCCAGAUUAAUGAACAACAAUUGCGGAGUCUUCCACAUUUCAGAACAAGACUGGAUCUAUAUGUGUAUUAUAACAUUUGUCCACACUUCUAAAUUACAUAAAACCGGUGUAGUUUUUUGUAGGUUUUUUUUUAGAUUUUAAUUUCGUAUGCAGUGUUUUGUGGUCUUGUGUUUAUCUUUUCGGGUUUUUUUAUUGCUCCCAUUUUGUUGGUCUAUCUUUCCAUAUUGUCUCUUUUGUCUUUUUUGUGUUAACUCUAACAAAUAUUGUGCAUUUAACGUUAAUAUGAUUCCAACAUUGUAGUGUUGGUAAUACCUGUUUAUUUUCUGUCUUUAACAUAGUGUAAUUUAUUACACAGCCUUACCAUAGUGAGUGGGGUAUAAUUAAACGCUUCAG
This 800-nucleotide long non-coding RNA is filed under the name Mytilus galloprovincialis (Mediterranean mussel). Lineage: Eukaryota; Metazoa; Mollusca; Bivalvia; Mytilida; Mytilidae. The record is from RNAcentral.